UGAUAUUGCUCGGUAGACCGACGGUCCU
RNAcentral lists this small RNA (28 nucleotides) under Bombyx mori (domestic silkworm). RNAcentral describes it as "piRNA piR-bmo-1944726". The record is from RNAcentral. Lineage: Eukaryota; Metazoa; Arthropoda; Insecta; Lepidoptera; Bombycidae.